Molecule: long non-coding RNA, 1013 nt
Organism: Oreochromis aureus
Lineage: Eukaryota; Metazoa; Chordata; Actinopteri; Cichliformes; Cichlidae
Source: Ensembl
UCAUUUUGCCAACUUUGUUUUUUUUUAAAUAGCAUUUAUUGUGAAAUGCUAACCAUUCCUCAAGUGUUAUUUUGCCAAUUAAAGCUGCAGACCGAGGAAGAAUCCAGAUCUUCAUCUACGUUUACAGCCAUGAGCAGUUUACUGACUGCAGGAUUUCUGUGUAUUGUCACGUGGUCACAAUUUAUAGGACGUGUUCAUGUUUGCUGUCCUCAGCGACAGUUACAGAGAUGUUUUCAUGUUCUGGUCAACAAAACGUUUAAAAUGCUUUUUAAAUGUGUCGUCUUUAUAUUAGGAGCUGAAACCGGUCAAUCGAACAGUGUGAUUGGAAAUUUAUUGAUAAGUAAUUUUUUUGGGACAAAGUUAGAUUGUCAUGUUGGAGCUUCUCCAGGAUUUUAAAAUAUCUCGUCUCCUUUAAGAGGAAAGAUGUUCACAAAGGAAAUCUCUUUAAAAUGUAUAUUAUUAUAAAAUGACACUAAUCGUUCUUCAGCUGAUUGUUCUCUUUCCAACAAAGUUUUAAUGUGCUUAAUUACAGCACAAGUCCUAAAAACACAAACGAAUUACAGUUAAAAUCGUAUAAAACAAACUUUUGGAACUAGAAAAAAACGUCUAGCAGCAAAAGUUUCAAUCUUUAUCGAUUUAUCGUUUCAGCUCCACAUUUUUCACUUUUUCUACAUUUUUAUUUCAUUUUCUCAGACUGCUCUGUGCUGUGUUCAAGGACAGUUUUACAUUUAAAAACUGAAGGUUCACUCUGUUUGAAAGUGCAAAGUUACCGAUUUCAAGAGUGGAGGGCAAACAAAAUGUUUCUGUUCGAUUCCUCACAUUUCCUCCUGCAGCUUUAAACUUUCAGAAAAAAAAAAAGAAAAAUCCCCGGGAGCGUUUGAGGCCGUCAGCGUGAUGAGGAUGAAGAGAAGGAGGCAGAGUCGACUGCUGUUUGUGUGCAGAGCAGGAUGAAGGCUGUGUGUAUGUCAAAGGAGGGCGAAGUGAAAAUGUUCAGGUCGAGUGUUUCAGGAGCG